This 253-nucleotide ribosomal RNA is filed under the name uncultured bacterium. RNAcentral's name for it is "partial 16S ribosomal RNA". It matches the Rfam family "Bacterial small subunit ribosomal RNA", at positions 524 to 776 of the family's 1533-position model. The record is from RNAcentral.
UACGUAGGGUGCGAGCGUUGUCCGGAAUUACUGGGUGUAAAGAGCUCGUAGGUGGUUUGUCGCGUUGUCCGUGAAAACUCACAACUCAAUUGUGGGCGUGCGGGCGAUACGGGCAGACUGGAGUACUGCAGGGGAGACUGGAAUUCCUGGUGUAGCGGUGGAAUGCGUAGAUAUCGAGAGGAACACCUGCGGCGAAGGCGGGUUGCUGGGCUGAUACUGACGCUGAGGCGCGAAAGCCAGGGGAGCGAACGGG